GACAAGAAUACCCGCUGAAUUUAAGCAUAUAACUAGGCGGAGGAAAAGAAACUAACCAGGAUUCCCUCAGUAACUGCGAGUGAAGCGGGAAAAGCUCAGACUGAAAAUCUUCGGAAUUGUAGUCUGGAGAAGUAUGGUCAGCCGAUAAUGAUGGGUAAAGUCUUCUGGAAAGGAGCGCCAUGGAGGGUGAUAGCCCCGUUCAUACCUAUUAUUAGAAGCGUACGACCUGCUUUCUACGAGUCGAGUUGUUUGGGACUGCAGCUCUAAGUGGGUGGUAAAUUCCAUCUAAGGCUAAAUACUGGCGAGAGACCGA
Molecule: ribosomal RNA, 313 nt
Filed under: Coccolithus braarudii
Lineage: Eukaryota; Haptophyta; Coccolithales; Coccolithaceae
Description: partial Eukaryotic large subunit ribosomal RNA
Rfam family: Eukaryotic large subunit ribosomal RNA
Source: RNAcentral